CAUGCCUGUGAGCAGCCCCAGCUGAUGCACUGUGCUCAGUGGCACACACCCAGCAGCAGGCACAGCUCUCACACACUCUCAUGCUCAUCCACUGUGUUUGCCCAGGAAGAAAUCUUAAUCUGGAACACCGUUGAUUUGGGUUCAAAUUAGAGGUGGUGAAGAGUUACUGGGUUGCUAAGCCACUUGCAAGGAGGAACAACUGCUUCUGAAGCAAAACCAGUGAACCAGAAAAGCUAUGCAGUGAUCUGAAAGGCUUUGUCUCACUGGUGUAUUAUAUCACAUCUUCCCUGAUAACUGCAGGAUAAUUCUGAAAGGAGUUUUAGAGUAGUUUCAUGAUGGAAGUUACUAAGGAGCAGUACACUUGUUGUACAUGGAGAUGGUUCUCCUUAUGACUACAAGGCUACAUCCCACAGACAACUUGCCAACAAGAAGGAAAAAUUUGCCAGAAAUGCAUGGAGGCAGCAGCAUAGAAUGGUGUACAAGCAACUUCAAAAAGUAAAUGCUUCUACAAGACACGGAUGUCCAGACUUUAAUUCAAAAAUACUUAGUUUAUUAACAAUGAUAGCACUGUCUGAUGUUUCCUGAGACUACUAUAGCUUUAACUUCUUUAUUUCUAUAAGACGAAUUUUUAAAAUUGAUUACAACCUCUGUUAGCCUGCUUAAUGGCAACUUCAUUUUUUUAAGCUGCUCUUUUCCAAGGUCAGAAGAAAGUCCUCCUCUCACCAUCUACACUAUUGCACUGCUGGCAUGGAGCAUCGGUGACGGGUAGCUUUUCUCAUUUCCUUCAGACACAUGAAUCACAGUCAUUACUAAAUGCAGCAGUCCUGAUUGGAGGGUGGAAGGGUGGGAUAGGAAGCUUGUUUGAUCCACCAUAGCAAAUCCUCUGUUUAAGUUGGGGAUCUUCCAAAUUCCCAUCAUCUGUGUUUCAAUACCAUUCCUGUAUACUCUCAGAUGAAGGAAAACAUGCCACAUCUUUACAUAUUUAGCUAAGAAAAAUCAGUUUAAGUCACCAGAGAGAUAAAGCUGU
Molecule: long non-coding RNA, 1027 nt
Organism: Numida meleagris (helmeted guineafowl)
Lineage: Eukaryota; Metazoa; Chordata; Aves; Galliformes; Numididae
Exons: 3
Source: RefSeq, a predicted model, not a curated record